Xenopus laevis (African clawed frog) is the source of this 371-nucleotide long non-coding RNA. RefSeq lists it as uncharacterized. The transcript has 3 exons. The record is from RefSeq and is a predicted model, not a curated record. NCBI's taxonomy places the organism in Eukaryota, Metazoa, Chordata, Amphibia, Anura, Pipidae.
AGUAGCAUGCAGCAGAGUUGCUAUAGAAAAGCACGUUGAUUUCUAUCAAACAAUGUCUACGGAUGCUUAGAACCCAUCAGGAUGCAUCUCGGCUUCUCUUCUACUGGUGAAGGAAAGGUUAACAGUCUUACUAGCAGCUGUUGUCUGAGGUGCUUUAGGAAAACGGACAUGGUUUCAGGAAAAUAAUGUGGCCCAGCUUAUUUUAGAUGUGCAGAGAAAAGAGGACCUCCGCUAUGGACUGACACCAGCCCCAACCUCAGUAGAGAACUUACCGAAGAUCUUGUAAAUGGGUGCUCAUUUGCAGAAUGUUCGGCUUUACUGAAGCAAAGCUUGCCUUGAAUUCAGAAUGAAAUGGCUAUUCUCCAGCAUGC